Firmicutes bacterium CAG:475 is the source of this 77-nucleotide regulatory RNA element. NCBI's taxonomy places the organism in Bacteria, Bacillati, Bacillota. The record is from Rfam.
UUAGAAGUCGAGCCGCUCGAAAGUGGUUUUUAAGUCAAUCAAAGAUUGCACCUAUGUCGGCGAGACUGGUUAGAGGA